Long non-coding RNA from Oncorhynchus gorbuscha (pink salmon), 1059 nucleotides. RefSeq lists it as uncharacterized. The transcript is spliced from 4 exons. NCBI's taxonomy places the organism in Eukaryota, Metazoa, Chordata, Actinopteri, Salmoniformes, Salmonidae. The record is from RefSeq and is a predicted model, not a curated record.
UUGUACCAGGCCUAGACUAAAUACCCUCAGCCCAGCUUCAACAGGGUUAGUCCCAGGCCCAGCCUCAACAUCCUUAGACCUUCCUCAACAGGGGCAGCACCAAGCCCAGCUUCAACACUCCCUGCCCAGCCUCAACAAGGGGGGUGGGGGUGUUAUGAUCACUACUGGCUUCUUCUCAUGGAACUGGCACAAUGAAAAGAGACCUGGUGUUUGGGAAAGAAGACUGAAACCUCCUGCUCUGACUGAGGAGGAUGAAGAACAAGGUGCGCUGCCUAUGGACUGUGCCACCUCUGAUCAGGUCCAGACACGUGAUUACUGUGCAGCCCCUGAACCCGCAACCCUGGACACGGCCCUAAUGGCAAAUCAUGAGCACGUAAGAGAAAUUGAGGAGCUUCGAGCCAAGCUGGAGAAACUGACUGCCCAACACAGCUUUGGUGCGAUUUUCUGGUUCUGACGAGGAUAUGCGUUUUUACACAAGAUUUGUAAUCUACACCUACCGGAUGGCCUUCUGGCACUUGACUGAGCGGGCAGCAGAGACCAAGUUUAAAAGUCACAAGCACCAAUCCAUCUGAAACAAGUGUUACUCGAAGAAAACUGACACUGCCAUCAAUCGACGAGUUCUUCUUGUUUAUGACUCAUCUGUCGCUGGGUCUGAAGCAGAAGGAUUUGGCCCAUUGGUUCAGCAUCCACCAAUCGACAGGGUUACGGAUUAUCAUCUCUUGGGCCAACUACUUCUACUGUCUGCUUGGAUCAGCACGGAUAUGGAUCCCCAGGGAAACCAUCAAAGCCCACCUGCCACCCGAGUUCAAGGACUAUCCAGACACCCAGGUAGUGAUCGACUGCACUGAACUCCGCUGCCAGACAACAUCUUCACUACUACUGAAGAGUGAGGUGUUUUCUUCCUGUUACAGGAAUUAAAUUCCUCGGUUUUAAUACCCAAUUAAAAUUAAUCACUCUGUCAAUUCAUAAGAGUCUGUAAGACCCUUAUUUGUAUAAAAUGGACAGAGACCAGUCUUUGAAAUCAACCAGCUGUAACGGUAUUCCUGUGGUGAAGUAGAG